Molecule: ribosomal RNA, 206 nt
Filed under: Hyphomonadaceae bacterium
Lineage: Bacteria; Pseudomonadati; Pseudomonadota; Alphaproteobacteria; Hyphomonadales; Hyphomonadaceae
Description: partial 16S ribosomal RNA
Rfam family: Bacterial small subunit ribosomal RNA
Source: RNAcentral
CGCUAGUAAUCGUGGAUCAGCAUGCCACGGUGAAUACGUUCCCGGGCCUUGUACACACCGCCCGUCACACCAUGGGAGUUGGUUUUACCCGAAGCCGGUGCGCUAACCUUGGAGGCAGCCGACCACGGUAAGAUCAGCGACUGGGGUGAAGUCGUAACAAGGUAGCCGUAGGGGAACCUGCGGCUGGAUCACCUCCUUUCUAAGAG